AGUGAACGCUGGCGGCAGGCCUAACACAUGCAAGUCGAACGGCAGCACAAGAGAGCCUGCUCUCUGGGUGGCGAGUGGCGGACGGGUGAGGAAUGCAUCGGAAUCUGCCCAUUUGUGGGGGAUAACCUCGGGAAACCGGGACUAAUACCGCAUACGACCUACGGGUGAAAGCAGGGGAUCUUCGGACCUUGCGCAGAUGGAUGAGCCGAUGCCGGAUUGGCUAGUUGGAGGGGUAAAGGCCCACCAAGGCGACGAUCCGUAGCUGGUCUGAGAGGAUGAUCAGCCACACUGGGACUGAGACACGGCCCAGACUCCUACGGGAGGCAGCAGUGGGGAAUAUUGGACAAUGGGCGCAAGCCUGAUCCAGCCAUGCCGCGUGUGUGAAGAAGGCCUUCGGGUUGUAAAGCACUUUUGUUGGGAAAGAAAAGCAGCCGGUUAAUACCCGGUUGUCAUGACGGUACCCAAAGAAUAAGCACCGGCUAACUUCGUG
RNAcentral lists this ribosomal RNA (490 nucleotides) under uncultured bacterium. Its description in RNAcentral is "partial 16S ribosomal RNA". It matches the Rfam family "Bacterial small subunit ribosomal RNA", at positions 29 to 507 of the family's 1533-position model. The record is from RNAcentral.